Non-coding RNA from Caerostris extrusa, 75 nucleotides. NCBI's taxonomy places the organism in Eukaryota, Metazoa, Arthropoda, Arachnida, Araneae, Araneidae. The record is from the annotation of a GenBank genome assembly.
UCCCAUGUGGUCUAGUCGUUACCAGGAUUCCUGGCUUUCACCCAGACAUCCCGGGUUCAAUUCCCGGCAUGGGAA